RNAcentral lists this ribosomal RNA (461 nucleotides) under uncultured Acidovorax sp. RNAcentral describes it as "bacterial SSU rRNA". It matches the Rfam family "Bacterial small subunit ribosomal RNA", at positions 919 to 1382 of the family's 1533-position model. The record is from RNAcentral. Lineage: Bacteria; Pseudomonadati; Pseudomonadota; Betaproteobacteria; Burkholderiales; Comamonadaceae.
ACCCGCACAAGCGGUGGAUGAUGUGGUUAAUUCGAUGCAACGCGAAAACCUUACCCACCUUUGACAUGUACGGAAUCCUUUAGAGAUAGAGGAGUGCUCGAAAGAGAACCGUAACACAGGUGCUGCAUGGCUGUCGUCAGCUCGUGUCGUGAGAUGUUGGGUUAAGUCCCGCAACGAGCGCAACCCUUGUCAUUAGUUGCUACAUUCAGUUGGGCACUCUAAUGAGACUGCCGGUGACAAACCGGAGGAAGGUGGGGAUGACGUCAAGUCCUCAUGGCCCUUAUAGGUGGGGCUACACACGUCAUACAAUGGAUGGUACAAAGGGUCGCCAACCCGCGAGGGGGAGCCAAUCCCAUAAAGCCAUUCGUAGUCCGAAUCGCAGUCUGCAACUCGACUGCGUGAAGUCGGAAUCGCUAGUAAUCGUGGAUCAGAAUGUCACGGUGAAUACGUUCCCGGGCCUU